RNAcentral lists this non-coding RNA (55 nucleotides) under unclassified sequences. RNAcentral describes it as "S15-Flavobacteria ribosomal protein leader". It matches the Rfam family "S15-Flavobacteria ribosomal protein leader". The record is from RNAcentral.
UACAUUUGCAGCCAUAAAAUCAUACAUAACAAACAUUUAAAAUAAUUUUAGCAUG